Long non-coding RNA from Cinclus cinclus, 2574 nucleotides. RefSeq lists it as uncharacterized. The transcript is spliced from 5 exons. NCBI's taxonomy places the organism in Eukaryota, Metazoa, Chordata, Aves, Passeriformes, Cinclidae. The record is from RefSeq and is a predicted model, not a curated record.
CUGGGCUAACAUCUUGUAAACAGAGCGUAAGGAAUUUAUCUUUCUUAGUUUUAAGUGCAGGAUGGUGUAUCAGUAGUAAUGUAUACAAUAUAGUGGUUUAAGUUUUCUUUCAAAUUCCAUGUUUAAGGUUUCUGGUCUUUAGAACAUUCAAAGAUGCACUAAUUCUUUUUGGGCCUAUUACAUCCUUUUCAUGUGUCUGCUUGUUUAAUAUCUGAUACAUUAAAAUCAGCCUAUGCUUGCAACCAUCACAAUGGCUUUGCUUAUGAAGGACAACUGUUCCUAUAUAAGGGGAAUUUCAUUGCUUUUCCUUACUUAUAUGAAAAACUGUCAUAACUAUUGCAAUAUGUGUAAGUAGCUGUCAAUGAGCUGAGGGGUGUAUAAACUGAUGGCUUUUCUAGGUAACAGAAGAAAUCCACAAAGAAGGGAAUUAACUUCCUGUCUGCCAGAUCUCUUGCUCCUCAGUGACCUAGUGAUGUUGUUUGUGUUUCCCUGGUAAUGGUUAACUGUCUGAGUUGUGAAGAUGAGUACCUUCCUGCUUCUAGAGGAAGCAGAGGCUGUAAGUUGUGGACCCUCGCUUCUGAGCAGUUCCAUUAAUGAUCCUGAUGUGUGUGCAGUCUGUUCAUAAACACAGGAGAAGACAAGUUCACUACAAAAAUGGACCCAUUUGCAUCUCUGUCUCCUGUUAAAGAAUACCCUAUCUGCCAUUGAAAUCAUUGUCAUUGCUUCCAAGGCAAAGUGCUAUUUGAAGUUCUGCUGUAGCUGCUGAGGUUUCUGAGAAUGGAUUAAUUAAUAUAUUCAGUCCAUAAAGGCAAGAUAUCCUUGUCCUUCACUAGAAUUUGUCCCAGCCUCUGAUUGGAACAUAUUGGUUAUGCUGUGCUGUUGCAAAUACUUCAGGUUGUGAGGUGAAUUAAUAAAUGGAUGAUAUUCUGGGAGGCAGAAGGAAGGCACUGGAAAAGCACCUGUAGGAUGGAUCUCACCUUUAAAACUUAAAGCAUCUAAUAAUGAAAUUGACAGUUACGCUGUGUGUUCUGAUGUCUUAAGGGAUUGGUUGUUUUUCAGUUGUUAAAUGCUUCCUUUUUCCAGCUUGUCAAGCAACAUAAAUAUCCCUUACUGCACCCAGAUGGGACCAAUGGGACAAGCUGGAUAUUUUAUCUUUAUUCCUAUUUUGUGACCAGCUUGUGUUUGGUAUCUCAAUUAUCUUCAAGGUUUCACCACCCACUCUUAUUUACACUUAAGUGUGUGGCUGCCCAAGUUCAGCAUAUUGGCAAUGGCACACAAACUUUCUGAGCAGGGCACUUAUCAUUAGAAUCACUUAAACAUCAACCAGAAGCACCAAGACCAGUGAAAAUGCUAUCUCAGGCUGGCAAAUGUGCCACACGUGCUGCCCACAGCAGAGAACCCGCAGAGAGCUGGUGCAGAACCUUUGGGCUGCCUUGGAGAAGGAGUAGUAAGGGAACGUGUGGGAGUGAAACGGAGAGAAUCAAAGUGCCUGAGGGGAUGGAGGGUGAGGAGGAGACUGUGUAACAGCUUGUACAGACUUGUGAGCUUCCGGAAAACUGCCAGCACUGGAGUAUAAUUUUAGGUCCAUUAACAAAACUUCUAAAGAUACUGGGCUUCAGACUGGUAGUCAGAGGUUGGCUGUCUUUAAAAUAAACAGAAAAGUAGGUGGAUUUUUUUUUUUUUUUUUUACUCAGACAAGAGUAUGCUUACGUAAUAAACUGUGGUUGGAGAAGUUGCUGCUACUGUUGCAGAACUGUUCGAUUUUGGAAGGAGUUAUGCCUCAGAUGCACUUUUAUAGGCCUUGCAAUUGAAAAUUUGACUACUGUUGCCUGGAUUGGAUCAAUUCAUUUGCUGAACAAACCUUUACAGACACACUAUUUCAAGUACAGAGCUAUGUGCACACAGACUUUGCUCAGUUAGAAGUAUGAGAACCUUGUCAGAAUGGACAGUAAGUGAUCUAUCUAUUCUGCCAUCAGCCAGGAAAAGACAACCUGGAAGUCUUGGUGAAGCACACAGUUUUAAGGGUAGAGAUGGUUAGGUUUAGUAUUGCAAAGACUUUGAAAGCAGCUUUUCCAGGUUCUUGAGUUUGUCUUGUGAUAAAGAUUGAAAUGUGAGGGGAGUUUAGUGUGUGUGUUUAAAGGUGGAUGUUUUGGCUUGAUGUUGUUUUGUUGUUUUUUGGGUUUUUUUUGUGAUACGUGGAAAUUCCAAAAGCACUUUCAGGUGACACUGGAUCCCUUGAAGUCUAUGUAAGGCCUUUGAUACUGACUCUGUAUUUGUACAUGACAUUGCUGCAGCUCAUGUGGAAUGCAAAGAGAAAAUGUGUCACUCUCAACAAGUGACUUCUCUUCUGGAUUGGUUUGUGAAAUGUAAGCUGAAGGAAGCCUGCCUCUUGCAUGCUCUUCAACACGGCCCUAGUUUUGUAUUUAGAAGCCUUAUGAAGUACCUUUCUACAGGCAGACCCCAGGUUUCAAGGCAAAACUCUUCCUCAGUUAAAGUUUUAACCAUGGCAAGAGCACCAACAUCUUAUGUAAUUUUUCUCUGUAAUAGAGACAGAAGGGUUAGGGGUGGUGAACU